AGAUUGAACGCUGGCGGCGUGCUUAACACAUGCAAGUCGUGCGGUAACAGGCGUAGCAAUACGUGCUGACGAGCGGCGAACGGGUGCGUAAUACAUGGGAAUCUGCCUUUUAGUGGGGAAUAACCCGGCGAAAGCCGGGCUAAUGCCGCAUAAGAUCUUCGGAUGAAAGCGGGGGAUCGUAAGACCUCGCGCUGAUAGAUGAGCCCAUGCCGGAUUAGCUA
RNAcentral lists this ribosomal RNA (221 nucleotides) under uncultured soil bacterium. Its description in RNAcentral is "partial 16S ribosomal RNA". It matches the Rfam family "Bacterial small subunit ribosomal RNA", at positions 26 to 247 of the family's 1533-position model. The record is from RNAcentral.